CAAGUUCUAAACCAGCAAUGUAAAGAGCUAAGAAUUGCUUCAUGCUGAACUAGCCCAGCCCUGGGGCUGAUUAGUGGAAUCCACUGCAAGAUAAUUUGUUAUUCAUACUUAUCCAUCCACCUCCCGCUGGGCUGAGAUAAAGGUAUCCAUGCUUCAAGUGUUACAGUUUUGAGAAGGGAAAAACCAAGGGGAUGUCUUGUUUUCCUUCUGCCUGUGAAACAGCCGUGCAUUUUGGAUCAGCACUGUAAUAAAGCCUACAUUCAAAAAACAUACCCAGCACUGAUUCAUCUCCUGGAAGUUAUCAGCAGCAUCUGUUGUCUCUGGUAAAGAUGAAGAUUUUCAGCCUAAAUCACAAUACUUACUCCAUGCAGCACUUGAUUGGUCUGGGGAGGUGAUGUGAAUCCCCUCCUACAGUCAUGGCUGUUUAAUGCCGUAGUGGAAUUUUGUCUAUUUUACAGGUACAUGGAGAUUUUCUAUUACUCUCUGGUGCCAUUUCCACCAGUGCAAAAUCAGUGUCAACUGCUGCCUCCCAGCCUUUAGCUAGGCUGUUUCACAAGAUGCAGGAUAGCAAAAUUUUUUUUUUCCCCCCAGAUAAUUGGAAAAUGAAAUAAAACACAUCAUUAAGUUUCCA
RNAcentral lists this long non-coding RNA (631 nucleotides) under Anser brachyrhynchus (Pink-footed goose). RNAcentral describes it as "lncRNA (ENSABRG00000004239.1)". The record is from RNAcentral. Lineage: Eukaryota; Metazoa; Chordata; Aves; Anseriformes; Anatidae.